ACCCAGGCAACCAAACGACGUUUUUAUAACGUAGAUAACACGUCAUAAAAAUGACCAAUUGACGUGUUUCUAUGACGUAGUACUGACGUUGAAAAUCACGUGUAUUUGUCUCAUCGAUUUGACGUCAUAAUUGUGACUAUUUUAAAACAUCGUAUCUACGUUUUUUUCACGUCGGUAAAAUCACGUCUUUAAUACUUUCAAAAAGUGACCUCUUUCAGAUGUUUCAAAAUAAUAUAAAAAAUAGGUACAUAACAUGAAACCUAUAGGCCUACGUCCCAUAUGUGUCGAAGAUAUAAGUACUACCACUUGUUUAAGAUCGCUUGUGCGCUAGGCUAGAAGCAUCAUUAAUUCUGCAUGAUUGUACCAGCCCUCACAUUUUAGAAUUUUCACUAGUUAUAUAUACCUACUUACUGUGUCAAAACUGAAACAACAUAUAUAUGAAACUAAUAAAUAAUUUAUUAAUAAGUUAUCCAGCAUACUAAUAUCUUAAUUUAACGCUGUCUUAAUAUCUUCAUUUAACGCUUAAUUAAAAACAAAUAAACAUAACCUCAAAUAGUUGUCAAGAAGAAUUACUGCAUUAAACUAACUCACUGAGAAAAAAGAAACAUGGCGCCUCAGAAGAACGGUCGUGUUUACGACUCGGAAGUUAAGUGUUGUAAAAAGUGUUAUAAAGUUGCACAAAGUGGUCUAUUAUGUGCGAAUUGUGGAACGUUAUCCCAUAGUGGCUGCCUGAAGCAACUAAAAUCGAUCAAAUAUAUCGAUGAUGAGACAGUUAUAUGCUGUGAGGAGAGUGUGAGGUUAAGUGAUCCACCAAACAAAACCUUGGAUAGUGAGGCUGACGAUGAGGAUCCGAGACAAACUGAAAUAAGGUACUUAAAGAAAAUUAUUAAUCAGAAUGAAACAAUAAUAUCAAAUCAACAAAUUACGAUAAAUUUAUUGAAGGAACAACUAGAUUUAUUUAAAUAUAUGCAAAUAGCUGAUCAGUCGCCAUCUACAAAACAAAAUACGAAUUCAAUCAACCAUUCAAACAGAGACCCAAAUUUUGAACGACCGAAACAGUCUAGCAGUAAAAUAUAUCCAAAAAACGAAAACACUACACCCGCAAAAAAUGUUGCUGUAAAUGAAAGUCUAGUUGUUGAUAAAGAAAGGAGUUCCCCAACAAAAACUCUAUUUAAAAAUAGUACCAAUAAAAAUAAACAAGUUGUUUCCUUAAUCGAAAAUAAUAAACAAUUAUCAGCUGAUAUUUUAAGAAUACAAACGGAGGCAAAAUGUUCAGAUAUCAUUAAUUUAACAAACGAUGAGAAUUUGAUAAAUACUGAGAGUAAAAAUUCGGUUCCAGUUCCAAAUAAUAAUGGGCAAGAAUGGAAAACUGUUAGGUAUAAAAGAAGGAAUGGACCUAUUGUUAUUGGCAAUAAUGAAAACUCUGAAAUCAGUGGUGUCCCAAAAUUUAGUCAUCUUCAUGUUACUAGGGUAAACCAGCAUACAACGGCAGAUAAUCUUAAGAAGAUGUUAGAAAAACACUUUCCAGAAGUGAUAUGUACGUCCUUAACGGCUAAGCAUCCCAACAUAUAUUCAUCCUUUAAAGUCUCAAUUUUUGAACAACAUUUUGGUUUAGCGAUGGACCCAAAACUAUGGCCCGUAGGCUCUUAUGUAAGCAGGUUUUUUGUGAAGCGUCCAACACAUACUCAAAUAAAAUGAAGGAUGAAGAAACGACCGUAAACCCUCCAUCAAAUUUUCAAAAUAACCUAAUUCAACAAGGCACGAUUAAAGUCAUAUUUAAUAUGAAGGGACCACUUACGAUAAAUGAUUUUGAAGAAGAACUAAAUGCACUAGAAGUAGAUGAAACAUUACUUAUUUUACAAGAUCUGAGCAUUCUAGAAUUGUGCC
This 1887-nucleotide unclassified non-coding RNA is filed under the name Diabrotica virgifera virgifera (western corn rootworm). RNAcentral's name for it is "origin recognition complex subunit 4". The record is from RNAcentral. Lineage: Eukaryota; Metazoa; Arthropoda; Insecta; Coleoptera; Chrysomelidae.